This 207-nucleotide ribosomal RNA is filed under the name uncultured Smithella sp. Its description in RNAcentral is "partial 16S ribosomal RNA". It matches the Rfam family "Bacterial small subunit ribosomal RNA", at positions 568 to 774 of the family's 1533-position model. The record is from RNAcentral. Lineage: Bacteria; Pseudomonadati; Thermodesulfobacteriota; Syntrophia; Syntrophales; Smithellaceae.
CGUGUAGGCGGCUGGAUAAGUCAGAUGUGAAAGCCCUGGGCUUAACCCAGGAAGUGCAUUUGAAACUGUUCAGCUUGAGUAAGGGAGAGGAAAGUGGAAUUCCUGGUAUAGAGGUGAAAUUCGUAGAUAUCAGGAGGAACACCGGUGGCGAAGGCGACUUUCUGGCCCUAUACUGACGCUGAGACGCGAGAGCGUGGGUAGCAAACA